Molecule: ribosomal RNA, 1658 nt
Filed under: Triticum aestivum (bread wheat)
Lineage: Eukaryota; Viridiplantae; Streptophyta; Magnoliopsida; Poales; Poaceae
Description: partial small subunit ribosomal RNA
Source: RNAcentral
GAGGAGGUGAUACGGCGGAGGAGGGUAAGGGAUUGGGAUAGACGAGGGGCGCGGUGGCAGAGGAGGAAGCGGAUCGGGCGGCCUAUGAGCAGCAGCAGGAGCGUAGGUGUGCCCUCCACGAGGCGGAGAAGGAGGGAGGACCAAAGCCCGAUCCGUAGUGGAAGCAGCGGCCGCACCGAGGCCACCUGAGACCGCCCGAGGAGAGGCAGAAGAGGGAGCAGAGUGCGCGCCAAGGCGAAGAGCGACCGGUGGCCCACAUCGGAACGUCCCCGCGUAGCCCGACCCGGGCGCGGCGUGUCGGCACUCCUUGUAUCUUCUCGUGUGGUGGCCCGGCGUGUCGUCCGUUCCUUCCUCGCGGUGGCGCCUUACCCAUCCAGUUGCGGCGUCUAACCCCUCCUCGCGGCAGCGGCGGACCUGGUUCGAGGGACGAGGUGGCUGGUUCCUGCGAGCUAAGGCCGGUGGACGUCGUGUAGUUCGGUAGGCGAUUGUCUCCUUCUUAUACCUAUUACCAGCGCCCCGGUAGCGGGGACGAGCUGCACGCGUCGCUCGUUCUCAAGCAAGAUGCGCAGUCCUUCCUUCACCUCUCUCCCUUCAACGGAGGUCUACAACGACUAUUGAAGCUUUUGGACAUGAUGUUAAUGUUCUUACUCCAGGAUGUUUUACCCCUAGGUUUACGUAUAGUCUAGUACGAAAGGUUGUACUACCUAAAUAAACUGGCGUAAGACGACCUACGUCUCUCAGGUAAAUGCAAAGUCGGAAUAGUGUUCCGGUAGUCUCUUGGUAAACUGAUAAUGUGGAAGCCAGUCUUAAUGUAAUCCGGUGACCAUCUAAAAUCCAUGUUUAGACCCACACCUAACGACGGAACGGAAAGGUCGUCCGUUUCCAAGUCAACCGAUGUCCAAAGAACAACAUAGAUAGUGACGUCAAUGUGUUAUAGAACAGAUAGGUUAUUAACCUUCGGAACGGAUGUUAAAAGGUAGACUCGUAAGAACGUCUUAUUAAUAAUACACAAGUAGUUACUAUUGUUACUAUGGACUAAGUUCUAAUCCACCAGAUGUUAGGCGGCUGAGAGGUUUUGGUAUAGAGGUCGGGUAGUUUAGACUUUUAAUUUCCGACUACUACCACAAUAUUCCAAAUUUUAUUUCCUACUACCCCUCAUAGGCGGACAAUAAUCAAGAUUGUUUUCCAAGAAAAGUUACGUUAGCUAUAGGUCAUAUCGCUCAAGACCCUGUCCACCACCUCAUCGAUGUUGCCCCUCCUCGGUACGCUACUGGAGCUACGAAUGACAACGACGGUGUUCGUAACACAGACUUUUUCUUCCAGGAGUGUUAUGUUGUACGCUCCUCAUUCGGUUGUUCCGAUAGCCUGCCCCGGGUUGAUAGAUAUAUAUACCAGAUUAUAAUAUUGUAUCAUGAUCCAUCACUAGAUUUGAUAGAAUAUAAAGAACUAUCUCCUUGUCAUAAUCGUGAGGUGGAACGAAAACUAUAGAAACUAGAAACAUGACAAAGGCAACAGGGCCUCUCCGUGAUACACAACGAAAACAAUAUUUAGAGAGAGAGAGGGAGGGAGGGAGGGGGAGAGAGAGAGAGAGUUACGUACCGAUAAACAUACUACGUACCUAUCUUCUCUAAUUCCUACUCGUGAUUUAACACAAGAGU